UGGGGAAAUUGGACAAUGGGCGGAAGCCUGAUCCAGCAACGCCGCGUGAGGGAUGACGGCCUUCGGGUUGUAAACCUCUUUCAGUACCGACGAAGCGAAAGUGACGGUAGGUACAGAAGAAGGACCGGCCAACUACGUGCCAGCAGCCGCGGUAAUACGUAGGGUCCGAGCGUUGUCCGGAAUUAUUGGGCGUAAAGGGCUCGUAGGCGGUUUGUCACGUCGGGAGUGAAAACAGCGGGCUUAACUCGUUGCUUGCUUUCGAUACGGGGCAGACUAGAGGUAUGCAGGGGAGAAUGGAAUUCCUGGUGUAGCGGUGAAAUGCGCAGAUAUCAGGAGGAACACCGGUGGCGAAGGCGGGUUCUCUGGGCAUUACCUGACGCUGAGAGCGAAAGUGUGGGGGAGCGAACAGGA
This 411-nucleotide ribosomal RNA is filed under the name uncultured bacterium. RNAcentral describes it as "partial 16S ribosomal RNA". It matches the Rfam family "Bacterial small subunit ribosomal RNA", at positions 356 to 777 of the family's 1533-position model. The record is from RNAcentral.